AGAAAUUCAACCAAGCGCGGG
This 21-nucleotide small nuclear RNA is filed under the name Arabidopsis thaliana (thale cress). Its description in RNAcentral is "snRNA_03048". The record is from RNAcentral. Lineage: Eukaryota; Viridiplantae; Streptophyta; Magnoliopsida; Brassicales; Brassicaceae.